AUUGAACGCUGGCGGCAGGCCUAACACAUGCAAGUCGAGCGGAUGAAGGGAGCUUGCUCCUGGAUUCAGCGGCGGACGGGUGAAUAAUGCCUAGGAAUCUGCCUGGUAGUGGGGGAUAACGUCCGGAAACGGGCGCUAAUACCGCAUACGUCCUGAGGGAGAAAGUGGGGGAUCUUCGGACCUCACGCUAUCAGAUGAGCCUAGAUCGGAUUAGCUAGUUGGUGGGGUAAAGGCCUACCAAGGCGACGAUCCGUAACUGGUCUGAGAGGAUGAUCAGUCACACUGGAACUGAGACACGGUCCAGACUCCUACGGGAGGCAGCAGUGGGGAAUAUUGGACAAUGGGCGAAAGCCUGAUCCAGCCAUGCCGCGUGUGUGAAGAAGGUCUUCGGAUUGUAAAGCACUUUAAGUUGGGAGGAAGGGCAGUAAGUUAAUACCUUGCUGUUUUGACGUUACCAACAGAAUAAGCACCGGCUAACUUCGUG
RNAcentral lists this ribosomal RNA (484 nucleotides) under uncultured bacterium. Its description in RNAcentral is "partial 16S ribosomal RNA". It matches the Rfam family "Bacterial small subunit ribosomal RNA", at positions 30 to 507 of the family's 1533-position model. The record is from RNAcentral.